This is a long non-coding RNA of Chrysemys picta bellii (western painted turtle), 1364 nucleotides long. RefSeq lists it as uncharacterized. NCBI's taxonomy places the organism in Eukaryota, Metazoa, Chordata, Testudines, Emydidae. The record is from RefSeq and is a predicted model, not a curated record.
UGCCCAAGGGGAAGCUGAUACAUCUGACACCACUACCUUUCAUCAAUAAAAGUGAGGGGGGCUUCCAAUCUGCGUGGAUGCCGGCGAGCUCUCUGGAAAGGACAAAGAGGGAUAGUGCCCAGCACAACUGGGAGUAGUGUAAACGGAAGGGGGAAGUGCGGGGUUUGCAGCUGCUAGGAGCUUACAGCGCUAACUCAGUCUCUGGGGCUCCAGGCAGGAGUUAGCGGCUACGAGCGCCGCUCGGGAAUCUGCCGGGUAGCAGCAGAGCGCUGCGGGCCUGGCAACGUGCCCGCGGAGCCAGGAGUGCUCCGCAGUCGCGCCGGGGCACGGCCCGCCGCCGGAAACCGCGGAGCCCUCGGCGCGGUGGCGACUCGUACGCACCGCCCUACUCCCUCCGGAUACUGCCCUGUUUCCCUCCUCCCGUGUUAACCCGCAACCUGGAACCUCCCAUUCCCUUCCAGCCAGCCAUGUGUAUCUGACUGUCCCAUCUGCACAGGAGGGAUACAAUCCACACCUGAGAGGGGGACCUUCCACAUUCUGAUCAGGAGGGAUUCUUUUCAUGAGGAAUUGCUAAUGGAAGAAGUAGUUUCUUUCUUCCAAUUACACACUCCAUAAGAAGUCUCUCAACAACACAAAGCAUGUAUUUUCUUAUUUAUCAUUCCAAAGAAAUAAGCUAGACAUCGUUCCACAAUGGAGUUAAGAAAACAGAAGAGCUUCUGGCAUGAUGGUCUUGUCGGGUGCCCUCUCCAUGCCUGCUCAACAUCUGACCCUGAUCAGGAGGAGAAAUAAGAGGUUUAGGGAGGAUAUGUUCUGCAAGAUCCUCCAAUUCUUUACAGCUUCAGACUAUAAGUGCAGUGCUUGGAGAGCCCAUCUGAACAUGACCAUGGAGAAGGACCAAGAAUGGAGAGAAUGGUUUCUGCAGGAGAGGCAUAAGGACCGAGAUGCAUCAGGAAAUAUGCCAGGACAUAAUGGCUUUGCUCAGGGAAUAAACUCAAAUGUUGCAGAGUAUUAUUGACAUACAUGCCCAAACUCAGCAAACUUUCCAGUCCUUGGAGAAUUCCAUGGUUGCUCUCCCUAUAUCCCCCAACAUUCCACAUGAGGCACCAUGAUGUACCUCCUUACCCCUACCUUUCCAUGCUGAACAACAGAGAAUAAUACCUACACGUGUACCGAUUUGAAAAAAAACACAGGUUGGUGUAUAUGUAAUCUACUAAACUGUUGUAGCUUUUAUAUACAUGGUCAUAAAUGUUCACUAUUUACUUCCAUUUUCAGUUAGGAUUUUAUAAUUUACUCUGUAUAGUGUUGGUAAAAGUUUUUUAACCUUGUAUAUGUUUGUUUGCACUUUCAUUUUAUUUUCUGUUUCU